RNAcentral lists this ribosomal RNA (497 nucleotides) under uncultured bacterium. Its description in RNAcentral is "partial 16S ribosomal RNA". It matches the Rfam family "Bacterial small subunit ribosomal RNA", at positions 28 to 507 of the family's 1533-position model. The record is from RNAcentral.
GACGAACGCUGGCGGCGUGCCUAAUACAUGCAAGUUGAGCGCUGAAGGUUGGUACUUGUACCAACUGGAUGAGCAGCGAACGGGUGAGUAACGCGUGGGGAAUCUGCCUUUGAGCGGGGGACAACAUUUGGAAACGAAUGCUAAUACCGCAUAAAAACUUUAAACACAAGUUUUAAGUUUGAAAGAUGCAAUUGCAUCACUCAAAGAUGAUCCCGCGUUGUAUUAGCUAGUUGGUGAGGUAAAGGCUCACCAAGGCGAUGAUACAUAGCCGACCUGAGAGGGUGAUCGGCCACAUUGGGACUGAGACACGGCCCAAACUCCUACGGGAGGCAGCAGUAGGGAAUCUUCGGCAAUGGACGAAAGUCUGACCGAGCAACGCCGCGUGAGUGAAGGAGGUUUUCGGAUCGUAAAACUCGGUUGGUAGAGAAGAACGUUGGUGAGAGUGGAAAGCUCAUCAAGUGACGGUAACUACCCAGAAAGGGACGGCUAACUACGUG